Molecule: ribosomal RNA, 1437 nt
Filed under: Streptomyces sp.
Lineage: Bacteria; Bacillati; Actinomycetota; Actinomycetes; Kitasatosporales; Streptomycetaceae
Description: bacterial SSU rRNA
Rfam family: Bacterial small subunit ribosomal RNA
Source: RNAcentral
UGGGGGGUGGGGCGUGCUUACCAUGCAGUCGAACGAUGAACCGCUUCGGUGGUGGAUUAGUGGCGAACGGGUGAGUAACACGUGGGCAAUCUGCCCUUCACUCUGGGACAAGCCCUGGAAACGGGGUCUAAUACCGGAUAACACUCUGUCCCGCAUGGGACGGGGUUGAAAGCUCCGGCGGUGAAGGAUGAGCCCGCGGCCUAUCAGCUUGUUGGUGGGGUAAUGGCCUACCAAGGCGACGACGGGUAGCCGGCCUGAGAGGGCGACCGGCCACACUGGGACUGAGACACGGCCCAGACUCCUACGGGAGGCAGCAGUGGGGAAUAUUGCACAAUGGGCGAAAGCCUGAUGCAGCGACGCCGCGUGAGGGAUGACGGCCUUCGGGUUGUAAACCUCUUUCAGCAGGGAAGAAGCGAAAGUGACGGUACCUGCAGAAGAAGCGCCGGCUAACUACGUGCCAGCAGCCGCGGUAAUACGUAGGGCGCAAGCGUUGUCCGGAAUUAUUGGGCGUAAAGAGCUCGUAGGCGGCUUGUCACGUCGGAUGUGAAAGCCCGGGGCUUAACCGCGGGUCUGCGAUCCGGAUUACGGGCUAGCUAGAGUGUGGUAGGGAGAUCGGAAUUCCUGGUGUAGCGGUGAAAUGCGCAGAUAUCAGGAGGAACUCCGGUGGCGAAGACGGAUCUCUGGUCCAUUACUGACGCUGAGGAGCGAAACCGUGGGGAGCGAACAGGAUUAGAUACCCUGGUAGUCCACGCCGUAAACGUUGAGAAACUAGGUGUUGACGACAUUCCACGUCGUCGGUGCCGCAGAUAACGCAUUAAGUUCCCCGCCUGGGGAGUACGCCACAAGCCUAAAACUCAAAGGAAUUGCCGGGGGCCCGCACAAGCAGCGGAGCAUGUGGCUUAAUUCGACGCAACGCGAAGAACCUUACCAAGGCUUGACAUAUACCGGAAAGCAUCAGAGAUGGUGCCCCCCUUGUGGUCGGUAUACAGGUGGUGCAUGGCUGUCGUCAGCUCGUGUCGUGAGAUGUUGGGUUAAGUCCCGCAACGAGCGCAACCCUUGUUCUGUGUUGCCAGCAUGCCCUUCGGGGUGAUGGGGACUCACAGGAGACUGCCGGGGUCAACUCGGAGGAAGGUGGGGACGACGUCAAGUCAUCAUGCCCCUUAUGUCUUGGGCUGCACACGUGCUACAAUGGCCGGUACAAUGAGCUGCGAUGCCGCGAGGCGGAGCGAAUCUCAAAAAGCCGGUCUCAGUUCGGAUUGGGGUCUGCAACUCGACCCCAUGAAGUCGGAGUUGCUAGUAAUCGCAGAUCAGCAUUGCUGCGGUGAAUACGUUCCCGGGCCUUGUACACACCGCCCGUCCCGUCACCAAAGUCGGUAACACCCGAACCCGGUGCCCCAACCCCUUGUGGGAGGGAAGCUUCGAAGGGGGAUCCGGGGA